This 3013-nucleotide long non-coding RNA is filed under the name Citrus maxima (pomelo). RNAcentral describes it as "long non-coding RNA (CMAX_LNC002198)". Lineage: Eukaryota; Viridiplantae; Streptophyta; Magnoliopsida; Sapindales; Rutaceae. The record is from RNAcentral.
GACAACAAACUGAAAAUAUGCUUUGUUAACAAAAUGGCAUUUGCAAAUGAAACCACUAUCAUGGCAAUGACAAUCUUAAGAGAACAAAAUCAUAUUUACAAAAUAAAAAAUAAUUACUAAAAAUUUACUCGAAUAAAAUAAAUACCAGCAACUCGCAAUAAUAAGGACAGAGCCAAGAGAGCAGCAACAACAGAGGCAGUUAAGAUCGAGCAAUAGUGGUUAAGGCAGAGACAGAGCAGCAGCUGCGUGCAAAGAUGAAGCAGCAGCAGUGGCAGAGAGGGAGCAACAGCAGUGGCCUAGAUGAAGCAGUAGUGGCAGUGGAGACAGAGUACAACAAUUGAUAUGGGCACACUGAGAGAGAAUAGAUCGGGAGAGAUAAGAAGAAAGAGAGAGAGCGUUGUUGGAUGAAAAAUGAAAAGACAAGGAUCGAAGAGGUAAGGAAAGAUUUUUUUUUUAAUUUUUUUUUGUAAUAUGUGUUAUAAAAGUGAAUUUGAAUUUAUUGUUUUAUAAUUUAUUUUUUUGAAUUCAACCCACUAAACAUGCAUUAUAUUUGUACUUUUUAAAACGAAAAUGAAAACAAAAUCCCAAAAAUGGUACCGAAUAUGCCCUAAAGUUUUCAAGAUUUUGUGCCAACAUCUUUCUUCAUAAAUUCUCUCAGCAAGAAUUACUAAUCAUCAUCAUUGUGUUACAGUAUCCACUUGCACAAGUUAUAAUCAAGAGAGAUGAAUCAUGUUAGAUUCAUCAACAAAGACAAUAGAAAAUAAGAUGGAUUUUGAAUUUUUGUUAAAGCUCUUAAUUUUGAUCAUUUGUUAACAUAGUAGAGAGGAGUUUCAUUGAUGAUGAUGAUGAUGAACCAAUUUUUAGACUGUUCAACGAGAAAAAGACACAUAACAAAAAAUUAAAAAAAGAAAUUCUACUUAUUUACACCCGAAUUUCAUUGUAGAUGAUGAAUAGAGUGUUGGUACAAAAAUAUAUCUAUGUGAUUAUCUUUUAUUUAAAAGAGUUUAAUUCCUUAUUGCUUAUGUGAUAUAAAGCAAAUGAAUGUUAAAUAAACAAAAAAAAGUAGCUUCAAUGAGAAUGUCAAGUUAUGUCUUAUUGAUUGCAAUUGGUUAAUUACAACUGUAAUUGAAAAUGACAAAAAAAAAUCCAGAAAAACGUAAAGAUGAGGGGUUGAAGAAAGAGGAAAAAAAAUUACUUUAAUGAACUAUAAAUACAGGAGAGAUUAAGGGGUGUAAUAAAAAAAGAACGAAAAGAGGGGUAUGAUUCACCCGUUGCACCAUAGCUCCAUCCAUUUCAUUUAUUUUGUGGAGAGAAUCAUGACUUCAUGAGAAAUUUAAAUUGUUAGGUAAAGUUAAGUCCCCUGUGAAGCCGAGUAUUUCCAUUUCUUGUUUCUGAAUAGUUGAUAAAAAAUUAAAAUAUUUCAAAUUUUGAAAAAAAAAAAUACAUUUCAUUGGAAUAUUAUGACUUGUCCACCUACUGUUUUCUUCAAUUUUAAAAACCCCAGAAAAACUGAACUUGUUCGACAGUCUGCUUGAAGUUUUAUAAAUUGCAGCAAUUUUUCUUUUUUUGGGUCAACAAUGUUGAGAAUUUUUCAGUAAAAUGGUUAUCUUCUCCUGAAGCGUAAUUAAAUAAACAAUGGGUAGAAAAUUAUUACCCAUUCAAUUGAAAAUUGAUACUUUCAACAAACGACAAUAUGAUAUAUCUAAACUACCAUCUUUUUGACAUCACUAAAAGCUUACAUUUGUUAAUAGCACAAAGUAGAAAAAUGACACACUUUGUAAAUUAAAAAAAUUAGGGUUUUUUGGAAUAGGAGUAAACAAUGGGAGUAGAACCAAUAAUGUUAUCUAAAUUAUACUCAAAAGAGAAAAAUGAUAACAUUUAAAGGAAAAAACGAAGUCCAAUGACAGUUAUAAGAUGAAAUUUCUCCAAAUAAGUAAAACUAUCACGUCAGAAUAUCAUAAAAUUAAAGUACUUUAAACAUAGGAUGAUAGGAUUUUACAUAAGUAUAUAUCAGCAUAUCAUCUGUGGUGAUGAUGAAGAUAGUUAUGCAUAAAAGCAUACUGAUCGUUUUACAGUACAUGAAAACCAUAAUCUACAUUCUAGAACCCCCCUCCUCAUACGAGCAGGUGAUGAUCGCUGCUACUACAUAAAAACUUGACAGUAAGUAGAUCAUUACGCAGCCUCAGCAAAGCCGAUCCGGAGCUUACCAGAGUCGAAAACAGUGUGAUAAACCCCCAUGAAUACAUCUCCCAGAAUCCUGCAUGAAUAAACCAAGGAAUAAACAAAAGGGAAUGUCACAAACUUGACUGCAAAAAUGCAGUUUACGAUGCAGCUCUAAGAAGUUUCAGUCAGAGAAGGUGACGUACCACAGAGGACCCCUUGGAGGAGGCAGGUCGAAAGCCAUGAAGCCACUGAUGCAGACUUCUGCAAUCCCUUCUCCGGUUUUCAGAAUAUACUGCAGCACGUAGCACAAGAAUUCACAAUAAAAAAUAGAGGGAUAAGUAUGCCAAUGUGCAUUUUUGCUAAGAAUAUAAAGAUAAAGAUAUUAGAUUCAGUCAUUGACACACAAACACAGAGUCACAUCCUGUCAUGAAAUCAACAAAUUGUUUUUUUUUUUUUUUGGUUGUAAUUAAUUAAACCUUCAAAGCAAAAUGUUUACUACAGAUGUUAUCACCCAUUGAAGUGGAACGGUCCCAUUUGAUAAGUUAGAAGCUUAAUCAAGAUUCUCUCAAGUAACAAUGAGCAGGAUGGAUGAUCAUAUCAUUUUAAGCACGGUUCUAAUCAGUAUAUGGUUAAUUAUUCUUCAUGAAUUUUAAUUCACAAUGCAAUUAUAUCUAACCAAAUUUUAAAAGCUGGCAUUUGGAAGUUUAGAUCUUUUCUACAACAUUUUCCCAAAUAAAUUUUAGAAUAUUGGAUCAUUCCCUAGCCAGAUAGUUUCUAAUCUUAAACCAUUAUUUAUAAUUUAGGGGCAGCAGGAGCAGCAAAAUUGAUAAUGACCAAUAAGAAAUUGAAA